AANNUCGGCUAACUCCGUGCCAGCMGCCGCGGUAAUACGGGGGAUGCAAGCGUUAUCCGGAAUCAUUGGGCGUAAAGCGCCUGUAGGUUGUUUAAUAAGUCCGUUGUUAAAGACUAGGGCUUAACCCUAGGAAAGCGAUGGAAACUGAUAGACUUGAGUAUGGCAGGGGUAGAGGGAAUUUCUAGUGUAGCGGUGAAAUGCGUAGAUAUUAGAAAGAACACCGGUGGCGAAAGCGCUCUACUGGACCAUUACUGACACUGAGAGGCGAAAGCUAGGGGAGCGAAAGGGAUUAGAUACCCCUGUAGUCCUAGCCGUAAACGAUGGAUACUAGAUGUUGUGCAAUUUGGACAGUAUCGUAGCUAACGCGUUAAGUAUCCCGCCUGGGGAGUACGCUCGCAAGGGUGAAACUCAAAGGAAUUGACGGGGGCCCGCACAAGCGGUGGAGCAUGUGGUUUAAUUCGAUGCAACGCGAAGAACCUUACCAGGGCUUGACAUACUACAGAUCUUUUUGAGAAAGAAGAGUGCCUUCGGGAAUGUAGAUACAGGUGGUGCAUGGCUGUCGUCAGCUCGUGUCGUGAGAUGUUGGGUUAAGUCCCGCAACGAGCGCAACCCUCGUUUUUAGUUGCCAAUUUAUUGGGAUCUCUAGAAAGACUGCCGGUGACAAACCGGAGGAAGGUGAGGAUGACGUCAAGUCAGGCAUGCCCCUUAUGUCCUGGGCUACACACGUGCUACAAUGGUUAAGACAAAGAGUCGCGAGCUCGCAAGAGUCAGCUAAUCUCAGAAACUUAACCCAAGUYCWGAUUGUAGNCUGCAACUCCCCCC
Molecule: ribosomal RNA, 822 nt
Filed under: uncultured phototrophic eukaryote
Lineage: Eukaryota
Description: bacterial SSU rRNA
Rfam family: Bacterial small subunit ribosomal RNA
Source: RNAcentral